UACGUAGGGACCGAGCGUUGUCCGGAAUCACUGGGCGUAAAGGGUGCGUAGGCGGGUCUUUAAGUCAGGGGUGAAAUCCUGGAGCUCAACUCCAGAACUGCCUUUGAUAGUGAGGAUCUUGAGUUCGGGAGAGGUGAGUGGAACUGCGAGUGUAGAGGCGAAAUUCGUAGAUAUUCGCAGGAACACCAGUGGCGAAGGCGGCUCACUGGCCCGAUACUGACGCUGAGGCACGAAAGCGUGGGGAGCAAACAGG
This 253-nucleotide ribosomal RNA is filed under the name uncultured bacterium. RNAcentral describes it as "partial 16S ribosomal RNA". It matches the Rfam family "Bacterial small subunit ribosomal RNA", at positions 524 to 776 of the family's 1533-position model. The record is from RNAcentral.